CUGGGCACAGUAGGAAGAAGCAUUCUCAUCAUGGCCACUUAGCUUGCUCGAGAUUACACAGAACCAUGCCUCUGGUUUCCUGGUACAGUGCUCCGGCAGGUGACGGAUGCUCCUGGGUGACAUAUCACGGAUCUCUCUGAGGUUGUUAAGAAUGAUCCUCUGUGACUGCACUAAAUAUUUUUUAAGUUGCAUACUGAGGUGUUGCAGAAGUUACUUUAUUAUUAAAAAAACAGCCUGGGAACUGAAGCCUAGAAAUGGGAUAAGAAUUAUAAUUUCAAGACAAAAGCAAGCAACUGGGUCAGAGAAAUGAUACAAUGAUUAACCUUCAUAUGUGGUCUGUACUUCAUCCAAUGAAGGGUGUAACAGUAAAAAAUAAAGUAGAAUGCACACA
Molecule: long non-coding RNA, 391 nt
Organism: Homo sapiens (human)
Lineage: Eukaryota; Metazoa; Chordata; Mammalia; Primates; Hominidae
Gene: RMDN2-AS1
Product: RMDN2 antisense RNA 1
Source: Ensembl